AUGGCGACGACCCUGGUGAGACGUGUGGAGUCGUGGGUGCGCGACCAGGGGGCGCGGCUGCCACCCUGGGCGCCACCUAUCGCCGUGCCGCGGUGGCCCUGGCCCCCGCCGUGGGCGCCCGCGUGGCCGGGCGACCGCCGGCGCCAGAGGGAGCGCAUGUUCCGCGAGGAGUUUGAGCGCCGCCGCAUCCAGCUUCGCGAGCUCUGCCGCGCCGUUCGCGUCGACACCAUCGCCGAGCUGCAGGAGCUGCUCUGCGCCAUGGUCCUCGCCGAGUGCGUCUACAAGAGGCCUGUUUCUGAGAUGAUGAGAUAUAUCAAUAAGUUCAAAUCUGAUUUUGGUGGAAACAUUAUUUCACUUGAGCGUGUUCAGCCAUCCUUGGACCAUGUACCACAUCGAUAUCUUUUAGCGGAGGCUGGUGACACUCUAUUUGCUACAUUUAUCGGCACAAACCAAUACAAAGAUUUUAUUGCUGAUGUGAAUAUACUCCAAGGAACCAUAUUUCACGAGGAUACAGCUCAGGAUUUAGCUGAUGCUGUUGACUCUGAGCAGAACAGUGACCAAUUUGGUGAAGAAAACAUUGGGGUAUCCUGUCGAGAAAAACCAAAACAGUUCGGGAAAUCAAAACCUGCUGCACACAGAGGUUUUUUAGCUCGUGCUAAGGGAAUCCCAGCACUGGAGCUAUACAAACUUGCACAGAAAAAGAACAGAAAACUUGUUCUUUGUGGUCAUUCGCUUGGCGGAGCGGUAGCUGCUUUGGCUACUCUUGCUAUAUUAAGAGUACUAUCCUCGUCGUCUCCAACUAAAGAGGCUAACAGGCUUCAGGUGAAGUGUAUCACGUUUUCUCAGCCACCUGUUGGGAAUGCUGCAUUAAGAGAUUAUGUUCAUCGAAGAGGAUGGCAAUACUACUUCAAAUCGUACUGUAUUCCAGAGGAUGUGGUGCCCCGUAUUCUGUCACCUGCGUACUUUCAUCACUACAAUGCCCAAACAACCGAAGCAUCUUUUGCAAAUAGAGUGGAUGUAAGAUCAGAAGAAAAUAAGAAAAUAAGCACUGAAGGUGCCGUGGAUAACAAUAGGGAACAACUUGUUCUUGGUGUUGGCCCUGUUCAAAAGUCACUCUGGAGACUUUCAAAGCUUGUUCCCGUUGAAGGAGUGCGGAAGAGUUUAAGUGUACUUCAAAAACAAGCAAAUAUUUUUGAAAAGGCAUCCACACAGUUGGAUAGUUAUUUGCAAGCGAAGGUUGAUGAAUCGGAAGAAGAACCGUGGUCUCUUGAAAUUCAGGAAGGUUCAGAAGGGAUUGCUCUUACCCCUUUAUCUGACAAUCAUGGAGGGACCACUGAAGAACACAAUAGGACUGAAAAAAUUAAUUCAUCUAAAGUUGGAUGUUCCAAGCGGUGGAGUAGAGUGCCUUCUUUGCCUUCAUAUAUACCAUUUGGUGAGCUUUACCUGUUGGGAGAUUCAUCAGUUACUACACUUUCAGAUUCAGAAUACUCGAAGAUGACGUCGGUGCAGUCUGUUAUAAUGGAGUUAAGAGAGCGUCUUCAGUCACACUCGAUGAAAUCCUACAGAGCCCGCUUCCAAAAAAUGUAUCAUGUGUGCAUGUGUGCAAAUGCCCCCCUUUUUACGGGCAUCGAGCAACUACAACAAUUUUCGCAUCUACAACAGCUACUUGGUCUGACAGCUACUGAUUCUGUUGAACUUGGUCACAUUGUGGAGCCUCCUGCCAUUAGAACUGCGACUUCUAUUCUUCCUCUUGGAUGGACUGGCCUUCCUGGUGGCAAAAGUGCUGAACCGCUGAAAGUAGAUAUAAUUGGACACGGUCUGCAUAUGUGCACUCUUUUCCAGGCUCAGAUAAAUGGAAGCUGGUAUUCAACGGCCGUUGAAACCCUACCAUCAACGACAUCAUUUUCAUCGGAUCAGGAGGUGCAACCUACAUUGCAAAAAAUGCGGAUUUUAGUUGGACGUCCACUAAAGCAGCCUCCAAAUUACACUAGUGAGGACUUUAUGGUUCCUGUGGUCACAGGUGCUAUGAAUCCAGAUUAUGGAGUUGAGCCCUUUGAAGAUAAAGGUUGUUGCAAGGGUUUGAAUGAAGUUAUUAUAUAUGGUACAAGUGAUUUUGUAACAAUAUGUAAGGAUGUCUAUGUUAGGACCCGGAGAGUGCGAUUGCUUGGACUAGAGGGCGCGGGUAAAACUUCCUUAAUAAAAGCAAUGUUAGGGCAACUUAAAGAAAGAAACAAUGCAGUCCUUGAGUGCAUACAUGUAGACUUGCAUGGCAAGGCAGUAUCAAAUGGAUUGUGCUACUUAGAUUCGGCAACAGUGAAGUUGCAGGACCUACCUUUAGAAGUUAGGCGCUUCAAAGAAGAACUGCAGUUAGGAAUGCAUGAUCUCAGCAGGAAGACUGACCUAAUUAUUGUUGUGCAUAACCUAGCACAUCAUAUUCCACAGUAUUACCAGUCCAACUCUUCUGAACCUCAGCCAGCUCUUUCACUUCUUUUGGAUGAAGCCAAGGUUCUUUGUGUUCCCUGGAUUCUUGCAAUAACCAACAAAUUUGGUGUCAGCGCGCAUGAACAGAACACAUUAAUCAGUUCAGCUAUGGAAGCAUAUAAAGCUUCUCCUGAUAACACCAAGGUUGUUAACUCUUCUCCAUUUCUAAUGCCAAGUGCUAAAAAUAGUCUGCAUCCCAUCAGUUCUACCAGUGGCGAUUUGGAGGAGGAUUCUUUCGGCAGAGCCGCUUUUCACCCAGUAAACUUUGCGUUGUCACCAUUUCAUAGGAAGGACAUUGUUAUGCAUGUGGAGGGUGUUGCUGCCCUUCAACAGCAUCUACAUCAAGUGAUUGUGAGUAAUGAAGAACCAGCUUUUGAGGAGCUUGCUCAUGAGAAAUUGUCCCUAGAGCUUGCAAGAGAGAAGGCGGUGUCUCGUCAAGCAAAGCAGAACCCACGAAAAAGAGAUGGAUCUGUCACAGCUGCUGCAGUAGGUGCAUCACUUGGUGCAGGCCUGGGGAUUGUAAUGGCUGUAAUAAUGGGAGCUGCAUCAGCCCUGCGGAAGCCGUGA
This 3048-nucleotide ribosomal RNA is filed under the name Triticum aestivum (bread wheat). RNAcentral's name for it is "partial small subunit ribosomal RNA". Lineage: Eukaryota; Viridiplantae; Streptophyta; Magnoliopsida; Poales; Poaceae. The record is from RNAcentral.